This 591-nucleotide long non-coding RNA is filed under the name Marmota monax (woodchuck). The record is from RNAcentral. Lineage: Eukaryota; Metazoa; Chordata; Mammalia; Rodentia; Sciuridae.
CAAGAACUCAGAUAAAGGGCAUAAUGAGAGACUGAAGAAAACACAUCACAAAAGGUAGUAUCCUCCCCAAACAUGGAAAGUGUUCAGAGAGUUUCCCAUUAUCUCACAGAAAUUAUAGAUAAGCAACCAUUCUCUUUUAUAAAAAAGAAAGAAGAGCUCUUCUUUGGGUUACAAGAUAUCGAUUACAUGCCCACAUGAGGAGAUUUAUGUGUAUUAAUUCAUUUAAUAUUCACAAUGACCUUUGGAGAAUGAAGAACAAAUCAACAAAAAUUAAGUCAAAACACAACUUUCUAGAAUACAGACUUAAAAAUCUGAAGCUCAAAUGGAUACAUGGUGUCCCAACAAAAUUUGGUAUUGAAUGAUUCACAGAAAGGCAUUUCCAACAAUGCUCAACCCUAAAAGCACUAUCCAGUAUAUAGUACAUACUCAGUUGUUAAUUGGGUAAGAGUAUGGAAGAAGGUAUCCUAUGGUUCUGUGAACAAGCAAGCCACAUGAAAGAAUAAAAAGGCAAGCUGGUCUUUGGCUUUAUUAGAGCAUCACCCAGUGCCAGAAGAUAGUGAAGAAAUGUCUAAGAAAUGUCUAAGAGUUAAC